AUGUUUAAGAAUGUUUGGCUAAAUAUAUUCUUUCUGUUAUCUAAUACUAUUUCUCCAAAAUUCUUGUAUUUUUGGGAAGCUAUCGUGUUUCUGGUAAGUUACAAUAUUUCUGCUAAGUUCUGCUAUGCUAUUGUAUUUCUGCCAAGUAUUAUGUUUCCUCUAAGAUAUUGCAGUUCUGCUAAGUUACUACAUUUUAGCAACGUUCCUUUGCUUCUGCAAAGUUUUUACAAUUUCUGCAACUUUUCAGCUUUUUCAGCUAGUUUCAGCAGACAACUUCAGCGUUCCAGCAUCCACACUGCAUUUUCGCAGGAAAUGCAAAUUUUUCUAGUUAUUAUUAUUCUUCUAGUUAUUCUUCUAGUUGCUUCCGUACACUUUUUGGCACUUAACUACUUCCUCAGUUUUCAGCCGAUUUUCUCAGUUCAAACUCUAUACUGUUCUGCUCUUUCUGCUCUUUCCGGCAAUGACUUUUGGUGUUUAUUACUGUUAUACUUUUUAAAAUAUUACACUUUUUUCCUUUAAUUUGUCCCAUUGAAAUGAAUGGAAAACUUCCACAAUUCUGCUAAAACUUGCUUGUUUUUGAAACUUAACUACUUUGUCAUACUUUCACCUAGAAACUCCAUUCAAACUUUAAAAUGUUCUCAGACUAUUGGGCUAUUCCUGUCUGAUUCAGCUUUUUCAGAUCUUCUACCGUUUUAAUCUUAUACCUCUUUAAGUUUUCAGUUGCAAAAUUGUGAUUUUUCAGAAAAUACAUGCGUUGUUAUGGUUGCUAUGCAAUUAACUCAGAGUGGACACUCAUCCAUUCUGAAUUUUCUCUUCAUGUUCCAACAACUUCUUGCUACUCGCCCAAUUUCCACUCAACUCCCACAAAUUAUACAUCAAAACGUAGGUAUUUUUGCUGGCUUUCAAAAAAUGUCACUAUCAUUGUUGUGGGAGUUAUAGAUUUUUUGCAAAUCUCCUCAGAGUAACACAAAGUCUGAAAAUUGUCCAUAGAAAGUCAAUGGAGAGUUUGUUCAAAAUCACCGCUGUAUUUCUCUAAUGAGAGGCAUUUUUAAAUCGUCAUAUCUCCUUAACGAAACAAAGUUGAGACAUGAGGCUUGUGCAAAUAUAUCUUCAGACACUCCUGAUGCUCACAAUUCAAAAAGUGUUUUAUCACCUAUUACCGUUUGGCCAUGAAUUACACUUGUUUGAGAGUAGGAAAUUCAUGCCUUGCUCAGAUCUCUUCAGAUUUAAAACUCUGGAAAUGAGGCACUUUUUUCUCUCAUCAUAUCUUUUUGAUGGAUUUCCACAGAGACCUGAAAAUUCCCAUGACUGUUCACCAAAGCCUGCUGUUUCUUACGGUGAAAGAAUGAUUUUGAUGCUCCAUAUAGAUUUAGAGUUACAAAACGUUGUUUGAGGGCAAGUCAAGGCAGUUUUGCUUCGCCUCUACUCAGUUACAGUGUAUUACAAGUCAUAUAUCUUCAAUAAUUUAUAUUUUAUCUCUGAAUUAAGAAGACCUGCAGAUUCCCCCAUCUCUUCUGAACAAAACGGUGUCAGAACGACCAUUCUAGCCCCUACGGUUAGGAAAUUAUGGCCAUUUGUUCGAGGGGAAUCCUGAAUGUCAGAAAUACACUGAAGAAAACUCACACCUCUCUCUGUGUCUGUGUGUGUAAGGGCUGAUUACAGCAGGUGCAGCUAAUUUAACUGACCUAGAUAUACCAAGCCCAGACUCUUAACAGCUCCUGUUCACUUUGCGCUCUGUGUAUGUGUGUCUGUAUCAAUAUUUCUCUCAUGUUAAAGUAUUACUCCUCCAUAAUAGUAUUUCUGCUAAAUCAAAGUACUUCUACUACAUCUUAGUACUUCUGCUCAAUCAUAGUAUUUCUGCUAAAUCAUAGUAUUUUUGCCAAGUCAUGGUACUUGUGCCAAAUCAUGGUUUUUGUGUCAAAUCAUGACAUUUCUGAUAUAUUAUAGUAUUACUACUAGGUGGAAGUAUUUCUGUUAUGUUAUAGUAUAUAUGCUGAAUAUAGUAUAUCUGUCAAAUCAUAGUAUUUAUCCCAAAUCAUAGUAUUUAUGCCAAAUUACAGCAUUUCUGCCAAAAGGCAGAAAUAGUACCUUUGAGCAGAAAUUUCUGCCAAAAAAUAGUAUUUAUGUUAAAACAUAGUAUUUCUGCUAAAUCAUAGUAUUUGUACUGAAACAUAGUAUUUCUGCCCAAUCAUAGUAUUUGUACCCAAUCAUAGUAUUUCUGACAUAUCAUAGUAUUUGUGCCAAAUUAUGGGAUUUUGCCAAAACAUGGUACUUGUGCCAAAUUAUAGUAUUUGUGCCCAAUUAAUAUUUCUGUUAUGUUAUAGUAUUACUACUAUGUCGUAGAAUUUCUGUUAUGUUAUAGUAUAUCUGCUGAAUAAGGUAUAUGUGCCAAAACAUAGUAUUUAUACCAAAUCAUAAUAUUUGUGCUAAAACAUAGUAUUUCUGCCAUAUUGUGGUAUUUGUGCAAAAACAUAGACUGUCUGCAACAUAACAGUAUAUCUGUUAUGUUAUAGUAUUACUACUAAGUCACAGUAUUUCUGCCAAUUCGUAGUAUUUGUACUAAAUCAUACUACUCGUGCCAAAUCAUAGUAUUUGUUGCAAAUCAUAGUAUUCAAACCAAAAUAUAGUAUUUGUACCAAAGCAUUGUAUUUGUAUGAAGUACUGUAUUUCUGCCAAAUCAUAGAAUUACUGCAAUUUCAUAGUAUUUUGAGGAAUCCCUUUUGUGAUAGUAUUACUUCUAAGUCAUAGUAUUUCUGCUUUGUCAUAGUAUUUGUACUAAAAUGUAGCAUUUCUGCCAAAUCAUAGAAUUACUGCUAUCUCAUACUAUUUGAGUGAAAUUACAGUGUUUCUGCAAAAACAUUGUAUUUCUGCUAAAUCAUAGUAUUUCUGUUAUCUUAGAGUACUUGUACUCAAUUAUAGUAUUUGUGCCAAAGUUUAGUAUUUCUGCCAAAUCAUAUUUAUGUGAAUUUGUACACUGUAAUAUCGCUGUAUUACGUAGUGGCUAAGUAGGAGGCUGACUGUUACUAAGUGCAUCAGUGUACAUAGGUCAUCUCUUGUGUUGGAGUGCCCUCUUGUGGCGCCUUUUGGGUAGUGCCUUAGUAAACGUGAACACUGCAAAGAAGUGGUAUCAGACUGGUUUGUAGUGGAGGAAUUUGUUGCCAGUUUCUUUUCAUCUUUAAUCUGUAUUCAUAUUGUAAUGUAGUAGUACCACAAUAUGGCAGAAACACUAUGUUUUGGCACAAAUACUUUGAUUUGGUAUACUUUAGCUUCUUCACCCCUUUUCAGCAAAAUUUUCAUUUUUUUCACCCCUUUUCAGCACAAAUUCCAGCUUUUUUGGCUGUAUUCAGAAAAAAGACAACUCUUUUGAGCAGAAACUCUGCUGAUUCAUCUCUUUUCAGCGCAAGUUUCUGCUUCUUUGCCUCUUUUCUGCAGAAAUUCUGCUGAUUCACCUCUUUUCUGCAAAAUUUUCAGCCUUUUCACCUCUUAUCAGCACAAUUCUCAGCAGCUUCUGCUCAUUUCAGCAGAAUUGUCCGUCUCUCCACCUCUUCUUUGUAAGAAUGACUUUGGCUCAGGGAAAUGAAUAGCCGCCUUUGAGCAGAAAUUCUGCUGAUUCAUCUCUUUUCAGCGCAACUUAUUGCUUCUUUACCUCUUUUCUGCAGAAAUUCUGCUGAUGCACCUCUUUUCUGCAAAAUUUUCAGCCUUUUCACUUCUUCUCAGCACAAUUCUCAGCAGCUUCUGCUCAUUUAACAAAAUUGUCAGUUUCUCCAUUUCUUGUUUUUGAGAGAAAGAGUUUGGUUCAGUGAGAUGAGCAGCUGCCUUGAGACGAGAAGGGCCAGGUUCAAAUCCCGGUCAUGGCAAAACCUGUUUUCAGUUUUCUCUUUUGUUCUUUUGUUCUGCCUCUUUUCUGCAGAAAUUCUGCUGAUGCACCUCUUUUCUGCAAAAUUUUCAGCCUUUUCACUUCUUCUCAGCACAAUUCUCAGCAGCUUCUGCUCAUUUUAGCAGAAUUGUCGGUCUCUCCUCCUCCUUUUUGAGAGAAUGACUUUAGCUCAGUGAGAUGAGUAGCUGCCUUGAGACCAGGAGGGCCAGGUU
This 4089-nucleotide long non-coding RNA is filed under the name Oreochromis niloticus (Nile tilapia). RNAcentral describes it as "lncRNA (ENSONIG00000038822.1)". The record is from RNAcentral. Lineage: Eukaryota; Metazoa; Chordata; Actinopteri; Cichliformes; Cichlidae.